RNAcentral lists this long non-coding RNA (225 nucleotides) under Elaeis guineensis (African oil palm). Its description in RNAcentral is "long non-coding RNA (EGUI_LNC078134)". The record is from RNAcentral. Lineage: Eukaryota; Viridiplantae; Streptophyta; Magnoliopsida; Arecales; Arecaceae.
CUGAGACUUUUCUCAUUUUCUUUGUAUUUUUACUAAUUUGGCUUGAUUGGUCUAGCUAGGGCAUUAUGUUGUGGCCUUCAUAAACUUAAUGAGAGAAGCAGAGUUGAAGCUUAUCGAGGCAUAAAAGAAGCUGAAGGCUGUCGAAGUCGAAGCUCAAGUUCAGGCCAAGGCGGCCAAAGGCUUAAGGAAGGAACUGGAGAGGGCAAAGGUGGAUAAGGUCAGGCC